UAUAUCCCAAGGCGCGUGAGAGAACCCUGGUUAAGGAACUCGCAAAUUGACACCGUAACUUCGGGAGAAGGUGUGCCGCUGGCGGUUAGUGACUUCGCGUCACGAAGCUGUCGGUGGUCGCAGUGAAAUGGCGGUUGUGACUGUUUACUAAAAACACAGGACUCUGCGAAGUCGUAAGACGACGUAUAGGGUCUGAUGCCUGCCCGGUGCUGGAAGGUUAAGGGGAUAUGUCAGCGCAAGCGAAGCAUUGAACCGAAGCCCCAGUAAGCGGCGGCCGUAACAAUAACGGUCCUAAGGUAGCGAAAUUCCUUGUCGGGUAAGUUCCGACCUGCACGAGGGCAUAACAACAUCCGCACUGUCUCGACCAGGGACUCAGCGAAAUUACAUUGGGGGUGAAGAUGCCCUCUACCCGCGGAAAGACGGAAAGACCCCAUGAACCUUUACUGCAACUUGGCAGUGAUUUUCGGGUUGUUCUGCGUAGGAUAGGUGGGAGGCUUUGAAGCCGGGCUUCCGGGUUCGGCAGAGCCAACGUUGAAAUACCACCCUGAAUAAUCUGGAAAUCUAACCUGCGCCCAUGAUCUGGGCGAGGGACACUGCCUGGUGGGCAGUUUGACUGGGGCGGUCGCCUCCUAAAUUGUAACGGAGGCGUGCGACGGUUCCCUCAGGCUGAUUGGAAACCAGCCGUAGAGUGCAAACGCAUAAGGGAGCUUUACUGCGAGACUGACAAGUCGAACAGUUGCGAAAGCAGGUGUUAGUGAUCCGGUGGUACCACAUGGAAGGGCCAUCGCUCAUCGGAUAAAAGGUACUCUGGGGAUAACAGGCUGAUCGCGCCUGAGAGUUCACAUCGGCGGCGCGGUUUGGCACCUCGAUGUCGGCUCAUCGCAUCCUGGGGCUGGAGCAGGUCCCAAGGGUUUGGCUGUUCGCCAAUUAAAGCGGUACGCGAGCUGGGUUUAAAACGUCGUGAGACAGUUUGGUCCCUAUCUUCCGUGGGCGCAGGACACUUGAGAGGAGCUAUCCAUAGUACGAGAGGACCUGGAUGGACGAACCUCUGGUGCUCCGGUUGUCACGCCAGUGGCAUAGCCGGGUAGCCAUGUUCGGAAUAGAUAACCGCUGAAGGCAUAUAAGCGGGAAGCUGGCCUCAAGACUAGGUGUCCCUGACGCAAGUCACUAAAGGCCCCUCGAAGACUACGAGGUUGAUAGGCUCGGUGUGGAAGCGCUGCGAGGCGUGGAGCUAACGAGUACUAAUAGGCCGUGCGACUUGACCUG
RNAcentral lists this ribosomal RNA (1266 nucleotides) under metagenome. RNAcentral describes it as "bacterial LSU rRNA". It matches the Rfam family "Bacterial large subunit ribosomal RNA", at positions 1675 to 2925 of the family's 2925-position model. The record is from RNAcentral.